GACGAACGCUGGCGGCGUGCUUAACACAUGCAAGUCGAACGCUGAAGGCUCAGCUUGCUGGGCUGGAUGAGUGGCGAACGGGUGAGUAACACGUGAGCAACCUGCCCUCUUCUUUGGGAUAACGGUCGGAAACGGCUGCUAAUACCGGGUAUUCACUGUCCUUCGCAUGGGGGGUGGUGGAAAGGUUUUUUCUGGUGGGGGAUGGGCUCGCGGCCUAUCAGCUUGUUGGUGGGGUGAUGGCUUACCAAGGCUUUGACGGGUAACCGGCCUGAGAGGGUGACCGGUCACAUUGGGACUGAGAUACGGCCCAGACUCCUACGGGAGGCAGCAGUGGGGAAUAUUGCACAAUGGGCGAAAGCCUGAUGCAGCGACGCCGCGUGAGGGAUGAAGGCCUUCGGGUUGUAAACCUCUUUCGCUCAUGGUCAAGCCGCAACUUUGGGUUGUGGUGAGGGUAGUGGGUAAAGAAGCACCGGCUAACCACGUGCCAGCAGCCGCGGUAAUACGUAGGGUGCGAGCGUUGUCCGGAAUUAUUGGGCGUAAAGGGCUUGUAGGCGGUUUGUCGCGUCUGCCGUGAAAUCCUCUGGCUUAACUGGGGGCGUGCGGUGGGUACGGGCAGACUUGAGUGCGGUAGGGGAGACUGGAACUCCUGGUGUAGCGGUGGAAUGCGCAGAUAUCAGGAAGAACACCGGUGGCGAAGGCGGGUCUCUGGGCCGUUACUGACGCUGAGGAGCGAAAGCGUGGGGAGCGAACAGG
Molecule: ribosomal RNA, 753 nt
Filed under: uncultured Actinomyces sp.
Lineage: Bacteria; Bacillati; Actinomycetota; Actinomycetes; Actinomycetales; Actinomycetaceae
Description: bacterial SSU rRNA
Rfam family: Bacterial small subunit ribosomal RNA
Source: RNAcentral